UACGUAGGGUGCAAGCGUUGUCCGGAAUCAUUGGGCGUAGAGCGCGCGUAGGUGGCUUCGUAAGUCCGUUGUGAAAGUCAAAGGCUCAACCUUUGAAUGCCGAUGGAUACUGCGAAGCUAGAGUACGGAAGAGGCGAGUGGAAUUCCUGGUGUAGCGGUGGAAUGCGCAGAUAUCAGGAGGAACACCGGUGGCGAAGGCGGGUCUCUGGGCCGUUACUGACGCUGAGGAGCGAAAGCGUGGGGAGCGAACAGG
RNAcentral lists this ribosomal RNA (253 nucleotides) under uncultured bacterium. RNAcentral's name for it is "partial 16S ribosomal RNA". It matches the Rfam family "Bacterial small subunit ribosomal RNA", at positions 524 to 776 of the family's 1533-position model. The record is from RNAcentral.